AUGAAUGAGACAGCUCCUAACAGGUCAUCUUCACCCAACCACAUCAAAACAGACAAGAAAAGAGCUUGUCUGCCUUGCCUCUGCACCUUCAUCGAGGAGGAACUGUUUCUUCCCCAGAACACCCAAGAGACCAGCUCUCACCUCAUUGGCCAGCACUGGAUAGAGCAUAAGGGAAGCUGGGAAGUUCACUUCAUGUGGUUACGGAUCUGGAGACACAGCUUCUGUCCAUACUCUGAACAUCUGGGAAAGGGACUAGCAAACCACUGUGCAGCCAGUUCCUUCAAGGGAUCCAUCACCAACAAGCUACCAUCAGAAGAAUUUCAAGAAUAGUGAGUCAAAUAUUAUUCAUUUCCUAAUGAAGACCAUCUCUAUAUACUUUCAGAUCUCAGAAUAUAAAAUUCAUCUAGAGCAAACAUAUAAUACUCAUGGUAUUUUGUGUAUAUAAAAAUAUAUUUCCUCUUGAGAAUGGAUGAGGAAAGCAAGUGUCCAAUUUUAUAUUCCACUAGGCUGUGCCUUCAGCCUAAUCUAGUAACAAUUUUAUAAGAAUCAAUUACUGAGCCAGAAUUAGAUUGUUACGCGAUUUUGAUGAUA
Molecule: long non-coding RNA, 591 nt
Filed under: Oryctolagus cuniculus (rabbit)
Lineage: Eukaryota; Metazoa; Chordata; Mammalia; Lagomorpha; Leporidae
Description: lncRNA (ENSOCUG00000032421.1)
Source: RNAcentral